Molecule: ribosomal RNA, 497 nt
Filed under: uncultured bacterium
Lineage: Bacteria
Description: partial 16S ribosomal RNA
Rfam family: Bacterial small subunit ribosomal RNA
Source: RNAcentral
GAUGAACGCUGGCGGCGUGCCUAAUACAUGCAAGUCGAGCGAACGGACGAGAAGCUUGCUUCUCUGAUGUUAGCGGCGGACGGGUGAGUAACACGUGGAUAACCUACCUAUAAGACUGGGAUAACUUCGGGAAACCGGAGCUAAUACCGGAUGAUAUUUUGAACCGCAUGGUUCAAAAGUGAAAGACGGUCUUGCUGUCACUUAUAGAUGGAUCCGCGCUGCAUUAGCUAGUUGGUAAGGUAACGGCUUACCAAGGCAACGAUGCAUAGCCGACCUGAGAGGGUGAUCGGCCACACUGGAACAGAGACACAGUCCAGACUCCUACGAGAGGCAGCGGUGGAGAAUCUUACGCAAUGGGCGAAAGCCUGACGGAGCAACGCCGCGUGAGUGAUGAAGGUCUUCGGAUCGUAAAACUCUGUUAUUAGGGAAGAACAUAUGUGUAAGUAACUGUACACAUCUUGACGGUACCUAAUCAGAAAGCCACGGCUAACUACGUG